This 253-nucleotide ribosomal RNA is filed under the name uncultured bacterium. RNAcentral describes it as "partial 16S ribosomal RNA". It matches the Rfam family "Bacterial small subunit ribosomal RNA", at positions 524 to 776 of the family's 1533-position model. The record is from RNAcentral.
UACGUAGGGUGCAAGCGUUAAUCGGAAUUACUGGGCGUAAAGCGUGCGCAGGCGGUUUUGUAACUCUGUCGUGAAAUCCCCGGGCUCAACCUGGGAAUUGCGAUGGAGACUGCAAGGCUAGAAUCUGGCAGAGGGGGGUAGAAUUCCACGUGUAGCAGUGAAAUGCGUGGAGAUGUGGAGGAACACCGAUGGCGAAGGCAGCCCCCUGGGUCAAGAUUGACGCUCAUGCACGAAAGCGUGGGGAGCAAACAGG